UGGGGAAUCUUCCGCAAUGGGCGAAAGCCUGACGGAGCAACGCCGCGUGAGUGAUGACGGCCUUCGGGUUGUAAAGCUCUGUUAUAUGGGACGAACGGGCAUGGGGCGAAUACCCUCAUGCAGUGACGGUACCGUAAGAGAAAGCCACGGCUAACUACGUGCCAGCAGCCGCGGUAAUACGUAGGUGGCGAGCGUUGUCCGGAAUUACUGGGCGUAAAGAGUGCGUAGGCGGAUAUUUAAGUGAGAUGUGAAAUACCCGGGCUUAACCCGGGCACUGCAUUUCAAACUGGAUAUCUAGAGUGCGGGAGAGGAGAAUGGAAUUCCUAGUGUAGCGGUGAAAUGCGUAGAGAUUAGGAAGAACACCAGUGGCGAAGGCGAUUCUCUGGACCGUAACUGACGCUGAGGCACGAAAGCGUGGGUAGCAAACAGGAUUAGAUACCCUGGUAGUCCACGCCGUAAACGAUGAGUACUAGGUGUAGGAGGUAUCGACCCCUUCUGUGCCGCAGUAAACACAAUAAGUACUCCGCCUGGGAAGUACGAUCGCAAGAUUA
Molecule: ribosomal RNA, 551 nt
Filed under: uncultured bacterium
Lineage: Bacteria
Description: bacterial SSU rRNA
Rfam family: Bacterial small subunit ribosomal RNA
Source: RNAcentral